GGGUUGUGAGGUUAAGCGACUAAGCGUACACGGUGGAUGCCCUGGCAGUCAGAGGCGAUGAAGGACGUGCUAAUCUGCGAUAAGCGUCGGUGAGGUGAUAUGAACCGUUAUAACCGGCGAUUUCCGAAUGGGGAAACCCAGUGUGUUUCGACACACUAUCAUUAACUGAAUCCAUAGGUUAAUGAGGCGAACCGGGGGAACUGAAACAUCUAAGUACCCCGAGGAAAAGAAAUCAACCGAGAUUCCCCCAGUAGCGGCGAGCGAACGGGGAGGAGCCCAGAGCCUGAAUCAGUGUGUGUGUUAGUGGAAGCGUCUGGAAAGGCGUGCGAUACAGGGUGACAGCCCCGUACACAAAAAUGCACAUACUGUGAGCUCGAUGAGUAGGGCGGGACACGUGGUAUCCUGUCUGAAUAUGGGGGGACCAUCCUCCAAGGCUAAAUACUCCUGACUGACCGAUAGUGAACCAGUACCGUGAGGGAAAGGCGAAAAGAACCCCGGCGAGGGGAGUGAAAAAGAACCUGAAACCGUGUACGUACAAGCAGUGGGAGCCUCUUAAUGGGGUGACUGCGUACCUUUUGUAUAAUGGGUCAGCGACUUAUAUUCUGUAGCAAGGUUAACCGAAUAGGGGAGCCGAAGGGAAACCGAGUCUUAACUGGGCGUUAAGUUGCAGGGUAUAGACCCGAAACCCGGUGAUCUAGCCAUGGGCAGGUUGAAGGUUGGGUAACACUAACUGGAGGACCGAACCGACUAAUGUUGAAAAAUUAGCGGAUGACUUGUGGCUGGGGGUGAAAGGCCAAUCAAACCGGGAGAUAGCUGGUUCUCCCCGAAAGCUAUUUAGGUAGCGCCUCGUGAAUUCAUCUCCGGGGGUAGAGCACUGUUUCGGCAAGGGGGUCAUCCCGACUUACCAACCCGAUGCAAACUGCGAAUACCGGAGAAUGUUAUCACGGGAGACACACGGCGGGUGCUAACGUCCGUCGUGAAGAGGGAAACAACCCAGACCGCCAGCUAAGGUCCCAAAGUCAUGGUUAAGUGGGAAACGAUGUGGGAAGGCCCAGACAGCCAGGAUGUUGGCUUAGAAGCAGCCAUCAUUUAAAGAAAGCGUAAUAGCUCACUGGUCGAGUCGGCCUGCGCGGAAGAUGUAACGGGGCUAAACCAUGCACCGAAGCUGCGGCAGCGACGCUUAUGCGUUGUUGGGUAGGGGAGCGUUCUGUAAGCCUGUGAAGGUGGCCUGUGAGGGUUGCUGGAGGUAUCAGAAGUGCGAAUGCUGACAUAAGUAACGAUAAAGCGGGUGAAAAGCCCGCUCGCCGGAAGACCAAGGGUUCCUGUCCAACGUUAAUCGGGGCAGGGUGAGUCGACCCCUAAGGCGAGGCCGAAAGGCGUAGUCGAUGGGAAACAGGUUAAUAUUCCUGUACUUGGUGUUACUGCGAAGGGGGGACGGAGAAGGCUAUGUUGGCCGGGCGACGGUUGUCCCGGUUUAAGCGUGUAGGCUGGUUUUCCAGGCAAAUCCGGAAAAUCAAGGCUGAGGCGUGAUGACGAGGCACUACGGUGCUGAAGCGACAAAUGCCCUGCUUCCAGGAAAAGCCUCUAAGCAUCAGGUAACAUCAAAUCGUACCCCAAACCGACACAGGUGGUCAGGUAGAGAAUACCAAGGCGCUUGAGAGAACUCGGGUGAAGGAACUAGGCAAAAUGGUGCCGUAACUUCGGGAGAAGGCACGCUGAUAUGUAGGUGAAGCGACUUGCUCGUGGAGCUGAAAUCAGUCGAAGAUACCAGCUGGCUGCAACUGUUUAUUAAAAACACAGCACUGUGCAAACACGAAAGUGGACGUAUACGGUGUGACGCCUGCCCGGUGCCGGAAGGUUAAUUGAUGGGGUUAGCGGCAACGCGAAGCUCUUGAUCGAAGCCCCGGUAAACGGCGGCCGUAACUAUAACGGUCCUAAGGUAGCGAAAUUCCUUGUCGGGUAAGUUCCGACCUGCACGAAUGGCGUAAUGAUGGCCAGGCUGUCUCCACCCGAGACUCAGUGAAAUUGAACUCGCUGUGAAGAUGCAGUGUACCCGCGGCAAGACGGAAAGACCCCGUGAACCUUUACUAUAGCUUGACACUGAACAUUGAGCCUUGAUGUGUAGGAUAGGUGGGAGGCUUUGAAGUGUGGACGCCAGUCUGCAUGGAGCCGACCUUGAAAUACCACCCUUUAAUGUUUGAUGUUCUAACGUUGGCCCGUAAUCCGGGUUGCGGACAGUGUCUGGUGGGUAGUUUGACUGGGGCGGUCUCCUCCUAAAGAGUAACGGAGGAGCACGAAGGUUGGCUAAUCCUGGUCGGACAUCAGGAGGUUAGUGCAAUGGCAUAAGCCAGCUUGACUGCGAGCGUGACGGCGCGAGCAGGUGCGAAAGCAGGUCAUAGUGAUCCGGUGGUUCUGAAUGGAAGGGCCAUCGCUCAACGGAUAAAAGGUACUCCGGGGAUAACAGGCUGAUACCGCCCAAGAGUUCAUAUCGACGGCGGUGUUUGGCACCUCGAUGUCGGCUCAUCACAUCCUGGGGCUGAAGUAGGUCCCAAGGGUAUGGCUGUUCGCCAUUUAAAGUGGUACGCGAGCUGGGUUUAGAACGUCGUGAGACAGUUCGGUCCCUAUCUGCCGUGGGCGCUGGAGAACUGAGGGGGGCUGCUCCUAGUACGAGAGGACCGGAGUGGACGCAUCACUGGUGUUCGGGUUGUCAUGCCAAUGGCACUGCCCGGUAGCUAAAUGCGGAAGAGAUAAGUGCUGAAAGCAUCUAAGCACGAAACUUGCCCCGAGAUGAGUUCUCCCUGAGACUUAGAGUCUCCUGAAGGAACGUUGAAGACGACGACGUUGAUAGGCCGGGUGUGUAAGCGCAGCGAUGCGUUGAGCUAACCGGUACUAAUGAACCGUGAGGCUUAACCUUACAACGCCGAAG
RNAcentral lists this ribosomal RNA (2926 nucleotides) under Escherichia coli. Its description in RNAcentral is "bacterial LSU rRNA". It matches the Rfam family "Bacterial large subunit ribosomal RNA". The record is from RNAcentral. Lineage: Bacteria; Pseudomonadati; Pseudomonadota; Gammaproteobacteria; Enterobacterales; Enterobacteriaceae.